AGGGUGUAAACGCUGCGGGCUUGGUGUUGGGGGUCCUUUGAGGGCGCCCAGUGCCGGAGAGAAGUUGUUAAGCCUGCUGCUUGGGGAGUACGUCCGCAAGGAUGAAACUUAAAGGAAUUGGCGGGGGAGCACCGCAACGGGAGGAGCGUGCGGUUCAAUUGGAUUCAACGCCGAAAAACUCACCAGGAGCGACGGAUAUAUGAAGGUCAAGCUGAUGACUUUACCUGAUUUUCAGAGAGGAGGUGCAUGGCGUCAGUGACU
This 261-nucleotide ribosomal RNA is filed under the name uncultured archaeon. Its description in RNAcentral is "partial 16S ribosomal RNA". It matches the Rfam family "Archaeal small subunit ribosomal RNA", at positions 748 to 1008 of the family's 1478-position model. The record is from RNAcentral.